RNAcentral lists this ribosomal RNA (253 nucleotides) under uncultured bacterium. RNAcentral's name for it is "partial 16S ribosomal RNA". It matches the Rfam family "Bacterial small subunit ribosomal RNA", at positions 524 to 776 of the family's 1533-position model. The record is from RNAcentral.
UACGGAGGGUGCAAGCGUUGUUCGGAAUUACUGGGCGUAAAGCGCGUGUAGGCGGUCAGGUAAGUCAGAUGUGAAAGCCUUCCGCUUAACGGAAGAAGGGCAUUUGAAACUACCUGGCUGGAGUACGGGAGAGGAGAGUGGAAUUCCCGGUGUAGAGGUGAAAUUCGUAGAUAUCGGGAGGAACACCAGUGGCGAAGGCGGCUCUCUGGCCCGAUACUGACGCUGAGACGCGAAAGCGUGGGGAGCAAACAGG